This 472-nucleotide ribosomal RNA is filed under the name uncultured bacterium. RNAcentral describes it as "bacterial SSU rRNA". It matches the Rfam family "Bacterial small subunit ribosomal RNA", at positions 355 to 825 of the family's 1533-position model. The record is from RNAcentral.
UGGGGAAUUUUGGACAAUGGGGGCAACCCUGAUCCAGCCAUGCCGCGUGAGUGAAGAAGGCCUUCGGGUUGUAAAGCUCUUUCGGCGGGGACGAAACGGUCCGUGACAACACCACGGACUAAUGACAGUACUCGCAGAAGAAGCACCGGCUAACUACGUGCCAGCAGCCGCGGUAAUACGUAGGGUGCAGGCGUUAAUCGGAAUUACUGGGCGUAAAGCGUGCGCAGGCGGCUCCUUAAGUCAGAUGUGAAAUCCCCGGGCUUAACCUGGGAACUGCGUUUGAAACUGAGGGGCUAGAGUGUGGAAGAGGGGGGUGGAAUUCCAGGUGUAGCAGUGAAAUGCGUAGAGAUCUGGAGGAACACCGAUGGCGAAGGCAGCCCCCUGGGCUAACACUGACGCUCAUGCACGAAAGCGUGGGGAGCAAACAGGAUUAGAUACCCACGUAGUCCCUGAGCGGGCUGGCAAGGCGCAU